RNAcentral lists this ribosomal RNA (497 nucleotides) under uncultured bacterium. RNAcentral describes it as "partial 16S ribosomal RNA". It matches the Rfam family "Bacterial small subunit ribosomal RNA", at positions 28 to 507 of the family's 1533-position model. The record is from RNAcentral.
GAUGAACGCUGGCGGCGUGCCUAAUACAUGCAAGUCGAGCGAACAGAUGAGGAGCUUGCUCCUCUGCCGUUAGCGGCGGACGGGUGAGUAACACGUGGAUAACCUACCUAUAAGACUGGGAUAACUUCGGGAAACCGGAGCUAAUACCGGAUAAUAUAUUGAACCGCAUGGUUCAAUAGUGAAAGACGGUUUUGCUGUCACUUAUAGAUGGAUCCGCGCCACAUUAGCUAGUCGGUAAGGUAACGGCUUACCAAGGCAACGAUGCGUAGCCGACCUGAGAGGGUGAUCGGCCACACUGGAACUGAGACACGGUCCAGACUCCUACGGGAGGCAGCAGUAGGGAAUCUUCCGCAAUGGGCGAAAGCCUGACGGAGCAACGCCGCGUGAGUGAUGAAGGUCUUCGGAUCGUAAAACUCUGUUAUUAGGGAAGAACAAAUGUGUAAGUAACUAUGCACGUCUUGACGGUACCUAAUCAGAAAGCCACGGCUAACUACGUG